RNAcentral lists this ribosomal RNA (253 nucleotides) under uncultured bacterium. RNAcentral describes it as "partial 16S ribosomal RNA". It matches the Rfam family "Bacterial small subunit ribosomal RNA", at positions 524 to 776 of the family's 1533-position model. RNAcentral also lists the same sequence under 1 other name. The record is from RNAcentral.
UACAGAGGUGACAAGCGUUGUUCGGAAUUAUUGGGCGUAAAGCGCGUGUAGGCGGUUUGUUAAGUCAGAUGUGAAAGCCCAGGGCUUAACCCUGGAAGUGCAUUUGAAACUGGCGAACUUGAGUACGGGAGAGGGUAGUGGAAUUCCGAGUGUAGAGGUGAAAUUCGUAGAUAUUCGGAGGAACACCGGUGGCGAAGGCGGCUACCUGGACCGAUACUGACGCUGAGACGCGAAAGCGUGGGGAGCAAACAGG